RNAcentral lists this ribosomal RNA (449 nucleotides) under uncultured bacterium. RNAcentral's name for it is "partial 16S ribosomal RNA". It matches the Rfam family "Bacterial small subunit ribosomal RNA", at positions 29 to 523 of the family's 1533-position model. The record is from RNAcentral.
AACGGACGCUGGCGGCAUGCCUAACACAUGCAAGUCGAACGAGAUCUUCGGGUCUAGUGGCGCACGGGUGCGUAACGCGUGGGAAUCUGCCCUUUGGUUCGGAAUAACAGUUGGAAACGACUGCUAAUACCGGAUGAUGACGAAAGUCCAAAGAUUUAUCGCCAGAGGAUGAGCCCGCGUAGGAUUAGCUAGUUGGUGUGGUAAAGGCGCACCAAGGCGACGAUCCUUAGCUGGUCUGAGAGGAUGAUCAGCUACACUGGGACUGAGACACGGCCCAGACUCCUACGGGAGGCAGCAGUGGGGAAUAUUGGACAAUGGGCGAAAGCCUGAUCCAGCAAUGCCGCGUGAGUGAUGAAGGCCUUAGGGUUGUAAAGCUCUUUUACCCGGGAUGAUAAUGACAGUACCGGGAGAAUAAGCUCCGGCUAACUCCGUGCCAGCCGCCGCGGUAA